Molecule: long non-coding RNA, 697 nt
Organism: Homo sapiens (human)
Lineage: Eukaryota; Metazoa; Chordata; Mammalia; Primates; Hominidae
Product: long intergenic non-protein coding RNA 1472
Source: Ensembl
CCCGGUCUAGUAGGGAGGGCUUCCUGGAGUAGGGACAGCCACAUUCAUCCCGGCUGUGGACUGAACUGUGUCCCCUUCAGAUGUCAUAUGUUGAAGCCCUUGCCUCCACUGUGACUGCAUUUGGAGACUGGGCCUAUCAGGAGAUAAGAGAUCACAUGGAGACACAGCAAGAAGGCAGCUGUCUGCAGCCAGGAAGAGAGCCCUCAGCAGAACCUGCGCCUGCCAGCACCAUGGUCUUGGACUCCCAGUCUCCAGAACUAUGAGAAACUGUAAGUCAGAGUUAAGACUGGAGCCCAGGCCAUCUCCCUCCACCACCCACACCUGACAUCCGCACACUGCGCUUCCUGCAUGGUGGACAGUGCCUGCCUGCUCACAACUGGGACCACUGCCUCCUCUGCUUCUCUGUAGCCCUGGCCCUAGCUCGUGGAAGGAGCAACAGGGCCAUAUUUGAGUUUCAGAGCACUGCUCAGGGGGGCAGAAGGCAGGGUCAGAUUCUUCUGGAAGAGGUCGGAGGUUUCCCAGCCAGAACAAAACUGGGAUGAGAAGCUGGGGUUCCUCCCACCCCUCUCCAGGACCUGUGAAUGUCCCUCCCCUGUGGAGCUGGAAAGCCAGCCCGAAGGCACCUGCCCCGUGGGAGGACACACCCCUGAGCCUGGAUGCCUCAUCUCCUGCAGCUUUGGAAUUCUAGCCCCUACCC